This 253-nucleotide ribosomal RNA is filed under the name uncultured bacterium. Its description in RNAcentral is "partial 16S ribosomal RNA". It matches the Rfam family "Bacterial small subunit ribosomal RNA", at positions 524 to 776 of the family's 1533-position model. The record is from RNAcentral.
UACGUAGGGUCCGAGCGUUGUCCGGAAUUACUGGGCGUAAAGAGCUCGUAGGUGGUUUGCCGCGUUGUUCGUGAAAACUCACAGCUCAACUGUGGGCGUGCGGGCGAUACGGGCAGACUAGAGUACUGCAGGGGAGACUGGAAUUCCUGGUGUAGCGGUGAAAUGCGCAGAUAUCAGGAGGAACACCGAUGGCGAAGGCAGGUCUCUGGGCAUUAACUGACGCUGAGGAGCGAAAGCAUGGGGAGCGAACAGG